This 75-nucleotide transfer RNA is filed under the name Paramuricea clavata. RNAcentral's name for it is "tRNA-Ser". It matches the Rfam family "tRNA". From Rfam's summary of the family: Transfer RNA (tRNA) molecules are approximately 80 nucleotides in length. Their secondary structure includes four short double-helical elements and three loops (D, anti-codon, and T loops). The record is from RNAcentral. Lineage: Eukaryota; Metazoa; Cnidaria; Anthozoa; Malacalcyonacea; Plexauridae.
GCCUCUGUAUAGCUCAGUUGGUUAGAGCGCUGCACCGGAAUUGCAGGGCCGUAGGUUCAAUUCCUACCAGAGGAC